RNAcentral lists this ribosomal RNA (429 nucleotides) under Pseudomonadota bacterium. RNAcentral describes it as "Proteobacteria bacterium partial 16S ribosomal RNA". It matches the Rfam family "Bacterial small subunit ribosomal RNA", at positions 355 to 776 of the family's 1533-position model. The record is from RNAcentral. Lineage: Bacteria; Pseudomonadati; Pseudomonadota.
UGGGGAAUAUUGGACAAUGGGCGAAAGCCUGAUCCAGCCAUGCCGCGUGUGUGAAGAAGGUCUUCGGAUUGUAAAGCACUUUAAGUUGGGAGGAAGGGCAGUAAGCGAAUACCUUGCUGUUUUGACGUUACUCGCAGAAUAAGCACCGGCUAACUCUGUGCCAGCAGCCGCGGUAAUACAGAGGGUGCAAGCGUUAAUCGGAAUUACUGGGCGUAAAGCGCGCGUAGGUGGUUCGUUAAGUUGAAUGUGAAAGCCCCGGGCUCAACCUGGGAACUGCAUCCAAAACUGGCGAGCUAGAGUAGGGCAGAGGGGGGUGGAAUUUCCUGUGUAGCGGUGAAAUGCGUAGAUAUAGGAAGGAACACCAGUGGCGAAGGCGACCACCUGGGCUCAUACUGACACUGAGGUGCGAAAGCGUGGGGAGCAAACAGG